AUGCAGGGUGCGAGUCCCUUUCCUGAGCACUUCAUUGAAAAAGAUGAAGUUUUUCACCAUCUGAUGAGGAAAAGUGAUUUUGAUGAACUUUGUGGACAAACACUCCAACCAGUUCUGCUUGCCCUAAAAACUUAUCUAGAGAGGUCUGUCAAGGAACAUCUUCCAGGCGGGAAAUUUUGGGAUUCUGGUGAGAAUUUGACAAGUGUCACAAGAGCAGCUCCAAAAAGCAACAAAAAUCCAGAAAGAAUAUUCGGUGUCUUAGACUACCUCGUUCACCACAGGCCAAAUGCAUCUGCCAUCACAAAUGAAGCAUAUCUGAUGUACUCCUUCAACAAAACAUCAAAGUGGGUGUCUAUGUUACCUCCUGCAAAGCUUGAACAACUAGUGGGUGAUGUGAGAAAAAGAAGAAAGGAGAUGGAGGCCAAAUUCAAAGAAAGGGAGGCCAGCAUCAUAAAGCAUCAUACAGAAAAGCAACAAAAGGCAGUAGAGGCUUUGGCCGAAAGCAGGAGAAAAAAAUUUGAAAAGAAGAAAAAUUUGACGGAAAUAAUUAUUGAUGCAGGUCUAUGGCAAUCAGAGAAAGAUCUUGAUAGCAAAAUGCAGCAGUGUGAUAGUGAUGCUGAGAGAUUCAGAGCCCUUACAAAUCAGCUUCGUUUCCGACAGGAAGUGCUACAGCAGGACCCCAGAGGGAGGAAGGAUGUGUUCAUUGUUUCCAGAAAAGACAGUACAGGGAAAGCUAAAGCUAAGCCAUGGACUGAACUGAAAGAUAAUCUGUUGUUUCUCAUCCAAUCUGCUGUGGCUGCAGGUUCUUCCAAGACAGUCUCCAAGUGUGCCCAAGAAAAAAAGACCAUCCCAUUCUUGCCGGGAAAAAGAGUACGCCACUUAUUUGCAGAUGGUGAAAUCUACAUAGGAAAAGUUAUUUCCCAGGUCCCUGGAUUUCCCUCCUGGUUUAAUGUUAUUUAUGAUGGAGAUGAUGCUGUGUACAGCUACAGAUUGAUAGAUGACUACAAGGAUGGAAGUCUGGAGAUCAUUAUUGAAGGCUAA
RNAcentral lists this long non-coding RNA (1041 nucleotides) under Oryzias javanicus (javanese ricefish). Its description in RNAcentral is "lncRNA (ENSOJAG00000013959.1)". The record is from RNAcentral. Lineage: Eukaryota; Metazoa; Chordata; Actinopteri; Beloniformes; Adrianichthyidae.